CACCCACGCGCGCUCGCGCACGCACACACACAGACACACAUACAUACGCACAUUCACACACACCCAUAUGCACACAAAGGCACACACACAUACAUCAGGCCAUACAGGAAAUAAAAUAAAUGACUAGAACAAACACGGGGAAAAAUAUAGGGAAUAUAAAACAAUAUCCAAAAAUAAGCUACGAGUAAAAAAGCUAUAAGUUUUCCCUUGAAAAUAGAAGAAUUAAAUGUCACUUAUUCAACGGCAUGUCUACGAAGCAAACCCGCGCCUUCUUUACACGAGACAUCAUCUGACAAUGUGUAAAAGGGAUUAAGCCGACUCUUUUAACAACACUUUUGGAUAAUACUUACAUCGUUAACGCAGAAGGAUGUUUGACAUGACUACAGCAUCCCAUCAGCCGGUUUCGAUUGUUAUUACUAUCGUUCUUUUUUAACUGUGGAUUAUGUUUUGCACCAAUAAGAGAAAUAGAUAUAACAGAUUCGGAAUCGAAAUAGAAAGAAAAACAGAAAAAGAAAACUCGAGAGCGAAUCGGUAAUUUCAUCGACAAAUCAAAUAUGAUAUUUUCAUGUAAAGUGUUCUGCUUGAGUCUUUUUCGGAGACGAAG
Long non-coding RNA from Octopus sinensis (East Asian common octopus), 604 nucleotides. RefSeq lists it as uncharacterized. The record is from RefSeq and is a predicted model, not a curated record. Lineage: Eukaryota; Metazoa; Mollusca; Cephalopoda; Octopoda; Octopodidae. The transcript has 3 exons.